GUUCAGGUAUGCUGGGUCCUGCCUGGCUGGCAGUUGGAGGCAGAGCUGUCACCGGGCCUCCGUGUGUCAGAUCCUGCUGCUGAACUUGGUCUGGCAUGCAGGUCACUUGUGUCAGAUGACUCUGAGCAGUGAUGAUGAACCAGAACCUGGAAACAGCUCUUGGCCUACAGGGCAGGAGGAUGGAGGCAGGGCUGCCUCUGGGUGUUUGGUGUUUGGAUCCUGCCGCUGAACUUGGUCCAGAACGCAGAAUUCCAGUGAGACUUGGCCAACUACAAGCAAUAAAGGAAGACUUGGCAAAAAUAUACUACUCUCAGUUGCUACCUGCAAGCUGACCAAGGCUUUCCCAGAUUUCCUGGAGAAUCCUACAUUUUUUGUGUCGGAAGAAGCUGAUCUUCUCACUCACCAUGAUCUCUGCCUCUCUGCAAAUACUGAGCUAAUCUCCCACUCUGGGUUUUAAACUAUGUUUGUUAAUAUCAUGGAAUAAAUAUAAAUCUGAUGUCUAGGUUUCUGUG
Molecule: long non-coding RNA, 512 nt
Filed under: Cricetulus griseus (Chinese hamster)
Lineage: Eukaryota; Metazoa; Chordata; Mammalia; Rodentia; Cricetidae
Description: lncRNA (ENSCGRG00000024224.1)
Source: RNAcentral